UGAGGAAUAUUGGUCAAUGGUCGAGAGACUGAACCAGCCAUGCCGCGUGCAGGAAGACGGCCUUAUGGGUUGUAAACUGCUUUUAUACGGGGAUAAACCUAUCUUUGCGAAGAUAGCUGAAGGUACCGUAGGAAUAAGCAUCGGCUAACUCCGUGCCAGCAGCCGCGGUAAUACGGAGGAUGCGAGCGUUAUCCGGAUUCAUUGGGUUUAAAGGGUGCGUAGGCUGGCUAAUAAGUCAGUGGUGAAAUGCUUUGGCUUAACCAAAGAGCUGCCAUUGAUACUGUUAACCUAGAAUGCAAAUGGAGUAGGCGGAAUGAAUCAUGUAGAGGUGACAUUCAUAGAUAUGAUUCAGAACACCGAUCGCGAAGGCAGCUUGCUAAGAUGCAAUUGACGCUGAUGCACGAAAGCGUGGGGAUCAAACA
This 422-nucleotide ribosomal RNA is filed under the name uncultured Bacteroidota bacterium. Its description in RNAcentral is "uncultured Bacteroidetes bacterium partial 16S ribosomal RNA". It matches the Rfam family "Bacterial small subunit ribosomal RNA", at positions 355 to 774 of the family's 1533-position model. Lineage: Bacteria; Pseudomonadati; Bacteroidota. The record is from RNAcentral.